Gallus gallus (chicken) is the source of this 2092-nucleotide long non-coding RNA. The record is from Ensembl. NCBI's taxonomy places the organism in Eukaryota, Metazoa, Chordata, Aves, Galliformes, Phasianidae.
GCGGAGCGCUGAGGUGGCGGUGCUGCUGGGCUCGUUUGUUCUUUCGUCUGUCCGUUCUUCCUUAGUAACAAGCCGCGGGUUCUGGGUUAGAGGUUCCUUGGGGGCGGCCGCCUUCCACAGAGCGAGCCUGAGGCACCCGCUGCCUUUCUGCUCUACUGGCUCGGUCCUUUACGGUGUUGCCUUCAGUCCUGGUGUCCGGAAAGCUCCAUUUGCUUCAGUGCAAGCAACCUGCUCUAGCGGGAAGUACUCCUGCCCAUAGCAGGGGUUGCAACUGGUGGUCUUCAAGUCCCCCCCAGCCCAAACGAGAGAGGAGGCUCAGGGGAGGUCUUAACACUCUCUAUGAAGACCUGAGAGGAGGUCCUUUCAAGCUGGGGGUUGCCCUCUUCUCCCAGCAGAAAAGGACAGCUGUUUACUGUGACCUCUGUCCAGCAAAGGCCCACAUACUUAGCAAGAGUUAACUCCUCCUUGUUAUGAGGAGUAAAAUGUGAGAAAAGUCAAGAAGUGUAAAUCUUCAAAGGAUAAUGUGCAGUUAGAUGCCAUUUGGCAUGAUGAAGAAUAUCACACUGCAGCCCGGAGAGGCAGUGACAUUAUUCAGGAAGCCUUGAGAAUCAAUAUUUCCUGUCUCCUACUCCUGUGCUGCUUCUCAAGGGCUGGUCAGCAGAGGGCCGUGUGACCCAUAGGAGCAUAUGUUCUACGCACAGAUGUGCCUGUGUACUCCAGAUCUGGGAUUUCAUCAGGGAUAAAUAUUUCCUUUUUCUCCCACAAGAAAUUAUUUUUCCUUCUGGAUGGAGUGGUGCAGAGAUGUGUACAGACAGAAUCUCGCAGACAUGCCCUUGCUACAAAGAAGACUGAUGUUAUCCUAGGCUUUGUUAGUCAGAAUCUCACCAACGGGUCAACGGAGGUGAUCUUUCCACUCAGGACAAGUGAUGCUACACAUGGAGCCCCGUGUCCACUUCUGGGCUCUACAGUACAAGAAAGACGUGGACUUGCUAGAGACAGUCCAAUGAAUGGCCAGAAAAAAACUAAGGGACUGUAACACCUGUUCUAUGAGGAAAGGCUGAGAGAGCUGGGACUGUUCAGCCUGUAUAAGAAAAGGCUCAGGGUGGAUACGUGAUGAGAUGGUGCAAAGAAGACAAAGCCAUUGGUACCCAGGGAUAGGACAAGAGUUAAUGUGCACAAACUGGAAUGCAGGAUUCUCCCUUUGAUCAUCCCGUAAUGCUUUCUUACUGUGCGAGUGACUGAAGAAUAGAGCAGGCUGUCCAGAGAGGCAGCGUGGUCUCCUUGGAGAUCUCCAAAAGCCACCUGGGCAUAUGCCUGGGCACUCUGCUCUAGGUGGCACUGCUUGAGCACAGACUGGACCAGAUGGACCCAGAGGUCUCUGACAACUUCAGCCAUUCUGUAAUUCUGUAUUUACAAAGUAAACAAAAGCACAGGUCUGAAUAUUUUCCUUUGCUGUGUGUCCUUGUGUUACUCUUGUUCUGUUCCCUGAUACAGCUGAAUAGAUACAAAACCAUGUGAAUGCAAGUAUGAAUUGACUUCAGUAAUCUCAAGAGAAAUAUUCAUGUGAAUAAAACUACUAAUGAACAGCCUUCUAUGUAACCUUAUUCUCUUUUGUAAUUUCCACCUUUAGAAUUAUAGCCUAUGAUCAAGGUAGUUUCAGUAUCAAAUUUAUGUUUUGAAGUAAGGAGGAUUAGUAAUUUCCAGAUAAGUUUUACAGAAGCUAAUAAGAUUUGACCAAAUAAACUUUCAUUGCUGCCUUCCAAAGUUAAAUCAUAGUCUUACAUAAACAAUAAAUUCCCCCAGUGAAUACCUGUUAAAUGGAUUUGCAAAUUGUGUUGCAGCCCAAUAAACAAACAAACAAAAUUAAUAAACAAACCCUUGAAUGUUCUUGUUAUACAAAUUGUGAAUUCAUUCCUGGCAAACGCAAUACCUCCACAAAUCUCCAAGCCAUGUAAAAGCAGUGUGAACUUUUGAGUAUGAAACUUAUUCAUAGAAAAAAAAUGUGGUAAUUCUUAUGUGCGUAUUUUUACCUUGUGCCUGUCAUUGGAACUGAAGAUUUAUUGCUACAAUACAUAUUAAAAGCAACCAACAG